Molecule: transfer RNA, 75 nt
Filed under: Candidatus Acetothermia bacterium
Lineage: Bacteria; Candidatus Bipolaricaulota
Also listed under: 1 other name
Description: tRNA-Gly
Rfam family: tRNA
About the family: Transfer RNA (tRNA) molecules are approximately 80 nucleotides in length. Their secondary structure includes four short double-helical elements and three loops (D, anti-codon, and T loops).
Source: RNAcentral
GCGGGCAUAGCUCAGUGGUAGAGCGACAGCUUCCCAUGCUGUAAGUCGCGGGUUCAAAUCCCGUUGCCCGCUCCA